This 374-nucleotide RNase P RNA is filed under the name Lachnospiraceae bacterium. RNAcentral describes it as "RNase P RNA component class A". It matches the Rfam family "Bacterial RNase P class A". From Rfam's summary of the family: Ribonuclease P (RNase P) is a ubiquitous endoribonuclease, found in archaea, bacteria and eukarya as well as chloroplasts and mitochondria. Its best characterised activity is the generation of mature 5'-ends of tRNAs by cleaving the 5'-leader elements of precursor-tRNAs. Lineage: Bacteria; Bacillati; Bacillota; Clostridia; Lachnospirales; Lachnospiraceae. The record is from RNAcentral.
UAAGUAGAACAAAUGAUCGCGGCUGCAUAAAAGGAAGUGUCAUUCCUUUGCGGCUGAGGAAAGUCCGGGCUUCACAGGGCAGGAUGCCGGAUAACGUCCGGUGGAGGCGACUCCAAGGCAAGUGCAACAGAAAUAAACCGCCGGAGUUUAAGCGAAGCUUAAACUCCUGGUAAGGGUGGAAAGGCAGUUUAAGAGACUACCGCCGGUAUGGUAACAUACCGGGCACAUGUAAACCCCAUCCGAAGCAAAACCGAACAGAAAGCAAUGAAGCGGCCCGCUUGGCUUUCGGGUAGGUUGCUUGAUUUCAUUGGCAACAAUGAAACUAGAUAGAUGAUUAUUGAAAACAUAACCCGGCUUAUCAUUUUGCUCAACCA